UACGGGGGGAGCAAGCGUUGUUCGGAUUUACUGGGCGUAAAGGGCGCGUAGGCGGUCAGCACAAGUCAGUUGUGAAAUCUCCGGGCUUAACUCGGAAAGGUCAACUGAUACUGUGCGACUAGAGUGCGGAAGGGGCAACUGGAAUUCUCGGUGUAGCGGUGAAAUGCGUAGAUAUACGGAGGAACACCAGCGGCGAAGGCGGGUAGCUGGGCCAACACUGACGCUGAUGUGCGAAAGCUAGGGUAGCAAACGGG
This 254-nucleotide ribosomal RNA is filed under the name uncultured bacterium. RNAcentral describes it as "partial 16S ribosomal RNA". It matches the Rfam family "Bacterial small subunit ribosomal RNA", at positions 524 to 776 of the family's 1533-position model. The record is from RNAcentral.